Molecule: ribosomal RNA, 253 nt
Filed under: uncultured bacterium
Lineage: Bacteria
Description: partial 16S ribosomal RNA
Rfam family: Bacterial small subunit ribosomal RNA
Source: RNAcentral
UACGUAGGGUGCGAGCGUUAAUCGGAAUUACUGGGCGUAAAGCGUGCAUAGGUGGUUCGUUGUGUCUGUGGUGAAAGCCCCGGGCUUAACCUGGGAAUGGCCAUGGAAACUGGCGAGCUGGAGUCUGGCAGAGGGGGGUGGAAUUCCGCGUGUAGCAGUGAAAUGCGUAGAGAUGCGGAGGAACACCGAUGGCGAAGGCAGCCCCCUGGGCUAAGACUGACGCUGAGGCACGAAAGCGUGGGGAGCAAACAGG